UACAGAGGGUGCGAGCGUUGUUCGGAAUUAUUGGGCGUAAAGCGCUUGUAGGCGGCACGUCAAGUCGCGUGUGAAAUCCCCAGGCUUAACCUGGGAAGUGCGCGCGAAACUGACGAGCUUGAGUGUCGGAGAGGGUCGCGGAAUUCCCGGUGUAGAGGUGAAAUUCGUAGAUAUCGGGAGGAACACCAGUGGCGAAGGCGGCGACCUGGACGGACACUGACGCUGAGACGCGAAAGCGUGGGGAGCAAACAGG
RNAcentral lists this ribosomal RNA (253 nucleotides) under uncultured bacterium. RNAcentral describes it as "partial 16S ribosomal RNA". It matches the Rfam family "Bacterial small subunit ribosomal RNA", at positions 524 to 776 of the family's 1533-position model. The record is from RNAcentral.